GAUGAACGCUGGCGGCGUGCCUAAUACAUGCAAGUCGAGCGAACAGACGAGGAGCUUGCUCCUCUGACGUUAGCGGCGGACGGGUGAGUAACACGUGGAUAACCUACCUAUAAGACUGGGAUAACUUCGGGAAACCGGAGCUAAUACCGGAUAAUAUAUUGAACCGCAUGGUUCAAUAGUGAAAGACGGUUUUGCUGUCACUUAUAGAUGGAUCCGCGCCGCAUUAGCUAGUUGGUAAGGUAACGGCUUACCAAGGCAACGAUGCGUAGCCGACCUGAGGGGGUGAUAGGCCACACUGGAACUGAGACACGGUCCAGACUCCUACGGGAGGCAGCAGUAGGGAAUCUUCCGCAAUGGGCGAAAGCCUGACGGAGCAACGCCGCGUGAGUGAUGAAGGUCUUCGGAUCGUAAAACUCUGUUAUUAGGGAAGAACAAAUGUGUAAGUAACUAUGCACGUCUUGACGGUACCUAAUCAGAAAGCCACGGCUAACUACGUG
RNAcentral lists this ribosomal RNA (497 nucleotides) under uncultured bacterium. RNAcentral describes it as "partial 16S ribosomal RNA". It matches the Rfam family "Bacterial small subunit ribosomal RNA", at positions 28 to 507 of the family's 1533-position model. The record is from RNAcentral.